CCUACGGGGGGCAGCAGUGGGGAAUAUUGGACAAUGGGGGGAACCCUGAUCCAGCCAUGCCGCGUGUGUGAAGAAGGCCCUCGGGUUGUAAAGCACUAUCAGUGAGGAAGAACGCCUGGUGGUUAAUACCCAUCAGGAAAGACAUCACUCACAGAAGAAGCACCGGCUAACUCCGUGCCAGCAGCCGCGGUAAUACGGAGGGUGCGAGCGUUAAUCGGAAUUACUGGGCGUAAAGCGCGCGUAGGUGGCUUGAUAAGCCGGUUGUGAAAGCCCCGGGCUCAACCUGGGAACGGCAUCCGGAACUGUCAAGCUAGAGUGCAGGAGAGGAAGGUAGAAUUCCCGGUGUAGCGGUGAAAUGCGUAGAGAUCGGGAGGAAUACCAGUGGCGAAGGCGGCCUUCUGGACUGACACUGACACUGAGGUGCGAAAGCGUGGGUAGCAAACAGGAUUAGAUACCCUGGUAGUC
RNAcentral lists this ribosomal RNA (465 nucleotides) under Vreelandella stevensii. RNAcentral's name for it is "partial 16S ribosomal RNA". It matches the Rfam family "Bacterial small subunit ribosomal RNA", at positions 338 to 795 of the family's 1533-position model. The record is from RNAcentral. Lineage: Bacteria; Pseudomonadati; Pseudomonadota; Gammaproteobacteria; Oceanospirillales; Halomonadaceae.